CCUACGGGUGGCAGCAGUGAGGAAUAUUGGUCAAUGGACUUACGCCUGAACCAGCCAAGUCGCGUGAAGGAUGAAGGUUCUAUGGAUCGUAAACCUCUUUUAUAAGGGAAUAAAGUGUGGGACGUGUCCUAUUUUGUAUGUACCUUAUGAAUAAGGAUCGGCUAACUCCGUGCCAGCAGCCGCGGUAAUACGGAGGAUCCGAGCGUUAUCCGGAUUUAUUGGGUUUAAAGGGUGCGUAGGCGGGUUGUUAAGUCAGCGGUGAAAGUCUGUGGCUCAACCAUAUAAUUGCAGUUGAAACUGGGGGGCUUGAGUACGUUUGAGGCAGGCGGAAUGCGUGGUGUAGCGGUGAAAUGCUUAGAUAUCACGCAGAACCCCGAUUGCGAAGGCAGCCUGCCAAGCCAUGACUGACGCUGAGGCACGAAAGUGUGGGGAUCAAACAGGAUUAGAUACCCGAGUAGUC
This 460-nucleotide ribosomal RNA is filed under the name uncultured bacterium. RNAcentral's name for it is "partial 16S ribosomal RNA". It matches the Rfam family "Bacterial small subunit ribosomal RNA", at positions 338 to 795 of the family's 1533-position model. The record is from RNAcentral.